This 73-nucleotide transfer RNA is filed under the name Dipodomys ordii (Ord's kangaroo rat). It matches the Rfam family "tRNA". From Rfam's summary of the family: Transfer RNA (tRNA) molecules are approximately 80 nucleotides in length. Their secondary structure includes four short double-helical elements and three loops (D, anti-codon, and T loops). The record is from Rfam by way of RNAcentral. Lineage: Eukaryota; Metazoa; Chordata; Mammalia; Rodentia; Heteromyidae.
GGCAAUGUGGCUUAGUGGUGCUAGAGUGCUUGCCUAGCAUGCAUGAAGCCCUGGGUUCAAUUCCUCAGUACCA